UACGUAGGUGGCAAGCGUUGUCCGGAAUUAUUGGGCGUAAAGCGCGCGCAGGCGGUCCUUUAAGUCUGAUGUGAAAGCCUACGGCUCAACCGUGGAGGGUCAUUGGAAACUGGGGGACUUGAGUGCAGAAGAGGAAAGCGGAAUUCCACGUGUAGCGGUGAAAUGCGUAGAGAUGUGGAGGAACACCAGUGGCGAAGGCGGCUUUCUGGGCUGUAACUGACGCUGAGGCGCGAAAGGGGGGGGAGCAAACAGG
RNAcentral lists this ribosomal RNA (253 nucleotides) under uncultured bacterium. RNAcentral describes it as "partial 16S ribosomal RNA". It matches the Rfam family "Bacterial small subunit ribosomal RNA", at positions 524 to 776 of the family's 1533-position model. The record is from RNAcentral.